This 515-nucleotide ribosomal RNA is filed under the name swine fecal bacterium FPC56. RNAcentral's name for it is "bacterial SSU rRNA". It matches the Rfam family "Bacterial small subunit ribosomal RNA", at positions 7 to 504 of the family's 1533-position model. The record is from RNAcentral.
GAGAGUUUGAUUCUGGCUCAGGACGAACGCUGGCGGCGUGCCUAAUACAUGCAAGUAGAACGCUGAAGAAAGGAGCUUGCUUCUUUUGGAUGAGUUGCGAACGGGUGAGUAACGCGUAGGUAACCUGCCUUGUAGCGGGGGAUAACUAUUGGAAACGAUAGCUAAUACCGCAUAACAGCUUUUGACACAUGUUAGAAGCUUGAAAGAUGCAAUUGCAUCACUACGAGAUGGACCUGCGUUGUAUUAGCUAGUAGGUAGGGUAACGGCCUACCUAGGCGACGAUACAUAGCCGACCUGAGAGGGUGAUCGGCCACACUGGGACUGAGACACGGCCCAGACUCCUACGGGAGGCAGCAGUAGGGAAUCUUCGGCAAUGGGGGCAACCCUGACCGAGCAACGCCGCGUGAGUGAAGAAGGUUUUCGGAUCGUAAAGCUCUGUUGUAAGAGAAGAACGUGUGUGAGAGUGGAAAGUUCACACAGUGACGGUAACUUACCAGAAAGGGACGGCUAACUAC